Molecule: ribosomal RNA, 497 nt
Filed under: uncultured bacterium
Lineage: Bacteria
Description: partial 16S ribosomal RNA
Rfam family: Bacterial small subunit ribosomal RNA
Source: RNAcentral
GAUGAACGCUGGCGGCGUGCCUAAUACAUGCAAGUCGAGCGAACGGACGAGAAGCUUGCUUCUCUGAUGUUAGCGGCGGACGGGUGAGUAACACGUGGAUAACCUACCUAUAAGACUGGGAUAACUUCGGGAAACCGGAGCUAAUACCGGAUAAUAUUUUGAACCGCAUGGUUCAAAAGUGAAAGACGGUCUUGCUGUCACUUAUAGAUGGAUCCGCGCUGCAUUAGCUAGUUGGUAAGGUAACGGCUUACCAAGGCAACGAUGCAUAGCCGACCUGAGAGAGUGAUCGGCCACACUGGAACUGGGACACGGUCCAGACUCCUACGGGAGGCAGCAGUCGGGAAUCUUCCGCAGUGGGCGAAAGCCUGACGGAGCAACGCCGCGUGAGUGAUGAAGGUCUUCGGAUCGUAAAACUCUGUUAUUAGGGAAGAACAUAUGUGUAAGUAACUGUGCACAUCUUGACGGUACCUAAUCAGAAAGCCACGGCUAACUACGUG